Molecule: long non-coding RNA, 1404 nt
Filed under: Macaca fascicularis (crab-eating macaque)
Lineage: Eukaryota; Metazoa; Chordata; Mammalia; Primates; Cercopithecidae
Description: lncRNA (ENSMFAG00000048526.1)
Source: RNAcentral
UUUUUUUUUUUUUUUUUUUUUUUUUUUGAGGAGUCUUGCUCUGUCACCCAGGCUGGAGUGCAGUGGUGCAAUCUUGGCUCACUGCAAGCUCUCCCUCCCGGGUUCAACCCUUUCUCCUGCCUCAGCCUCCCGAAUAGCCGGGACUACCGGCGCCUGCCACCAUGCCUGGCUAAUUUUUUGUAUUUUUAGUAGAGACGGGGUUUCACCAUGUUAGCCAGGAUGGUCUCGAUCUCCUGACCUCGUGAUCCGCCCACCUUGGCCUCCCAAAGUGCUGGGAUUACAGGCGUGAGCCACCGUGCCCGGCCAAGUAGCACAUUUUGUUAUGUUACAUAUGCCAUCCAUUUUUCCAAGUUACUGAUUUAAUAUUUAAAACCUAACAUUUAUACAGCCCUUUCUAGUUUAUAAAAUACCUUCACAUCAUUGGUCUCAUUUCACAUUCUUCAGUUGUGCUAAAUGAUUUCAUAAACUUGGUGAUACUGAUAUUAAGUGCUUGUAACGAAUGUGAUUCUGAUUAACAAAAGCAAUUUGAUAUAUUUGCUUCUAUGCCCUGUACAUCCAGUUAUUAAAGUUUAAUGUUGCAUGAUGACCUGAUUUCUGAAAGAUUCCUAUACAUGCAGCCAAAGGGUUUAAGAGGAAUCAUACUGUUAAGAAGGGAAAUAUUAGAAAGUGGAUAUAGAAUUAGGUGAGCCAGGCUAAAAUGGAUGAUUCUGCUAACAUAGCUGAGUUAUUAAAUCUGCACUUUUUAUGCCAAAGUCCACAAGGAAAAUCUCCAGAGUAAUAAAGUUUGAUCUCUUUAGGAUCUAUCACUUCCAGGCAAUUUAAUCGAUUUUCAGAAUUUCUGUGGUUCCAAGUUUCCUGGAUGUACUUGGAUAUUCUUCCAGAGCUGGCAGUUAAGGAAACAAAGUUAACAGAUGUUGAAGCAUUCUGGAAAUUGGGACCAGAAAUCAAGUGCAAUUCUACUUCCAUAAACUUGACUAUAAGGGCCAAAUAAAUUAUAUAAAACAUAUUUAAUGCUGCUUUUAAUAAUGGUAAAAAGUUUGAAACCUGGAAUGCAGAAAACUUAGACAGAUUUUUUAUUUUUUUAAUGAGGUAAAGUCUCUUACCAACAUAAGUGUGUAUACUAGAGGGACAAAAAGAAUAUGUAUGAUAGAAUUACAAAGUUCUUAUGGAAGUUCUGUCUGAAGCCCUUUCAAAUAAUGUUUGAAAAAAUAAGAGAAUAACCUGAAACUUAAAAGCUUUUUGAGAGUGAAACAUUUUCUUUCUUAGUAAAUUAUAAAAGGCUAUAGUGUAACAAUUAUAGGCAGGUAGAAUAACAUGAACAUGUCUUCCUAAUAAGAGAUAACAAGAGCUAACUUGUAAUGGUGUGUUUACAAUGCUCCAGGUGUCUUCUGUUCCACAGACAAG